Molecule: ribosomal RNA, 495 nt
Filed under: uncultured bacterium
Lineage: Bacteria
Description: bacterial SSU rRNA
Rfam family: Bacterial small subunit ribosomal RNA
Source: RNAcentral
GAUCCUGGCUCAGGAUGAACGCUGGCGGCGUGCUUAACACAUGCAAGUCGAACGGAGCUUGUCUGAUAGAGACUUCGGUCAAUUGAUUUCAAGCUUAGUGGCGGACGGGUGAGUAACGCGUGAGGAACCUGCCUUGGAGUGGGGAAUAACACAGUGAAAAUUGUGCUAAUACCGCAUAAUGCAGUUGAGUCGCAUGGCUCUGACUGCCAAAGAUUUAUCGCUCUAAGAUGGCCUCGCGUCUGAUUAGGUAGUUGGUAGGGUAACGGCCUACCAAGCCGACGAUCAGUAGCCGGUCUGAGAGGAUGAACGGCCACAUUGGGACUGAGAUACGGCCCAGACUCCUACGGGAGGCAGCAGUGGGGAAUAUUGGGCAAUGGGGGAAACCCUGACCCAGCAACGCCGCGUGAAGGAAGAAGGCCUUCGGGUUAUAAACUUCUUUUAGCAGGGACGAAGAACGUGACGGUACCUGCAGAAAAAGCAACGGCUAACUACGUG